GAUGAACGCUGGCGGCGUGCCUAAUACAUGCAAGUCGAGCGAACGGACGAGAAGCUUGCUUCUCUGAUGUUAGCGGCGGACGGGUGAGUAACACGUGGAUAACCUACCUAUAAGACUGGGAUAACUUCGGGAAACCGGAGCUAAUACCGGAUAAUAUUUUGAACCGCAUGGUUCAAAAGUGAAAGACGGUCUUGCUGUCACUUAUAGGUGGAUCCGCGCUGCAUUAGCUAGUUGGUAAGGUAACGGCUUACCAAGGCAACGAUGCAUAGCCGACCUGAGAGGAUGAUCGGCCACACUGGAACUGAGACACGGUCCAGACUCCUACGGGGGGCAGCAGUAGGGAAUAUUGCGCAAUGGGCGAAAGCCUGACGGAGCAACGCCGCGUGAGUGAUGAAGGUCUUCGGAUCGUAAAACUCUGUUAUUAGGGAAGAACAUAUGUGUAAGUAACUGUGCACAUCUUGACGGUACCUAAUCAGAAAGCCACGGCUAACUACGUG
This 497-nucleotide ribosomal RNA is filed under the name uncultured bacterium. Its description in RNAcentral is "partial 16S ribosomal RNA". It matches the Rfam family "Bacterial small subunit ribosomal RNA", at positions 28 to 507 of the family's 1533-position model. The record is from RNAcentral.